Molecule: ribosomal RNA, 440 nt
Filed under: uncultured bacterium
Lineage: Bacteria
Description: partial 16S ribosomal RNA
Rfam family: Bacterial small subunit ribosomal RNA
Source: RNAcentral
UCUACGGGAGGCAGCAGUGGGGAAUAUUGCACAAUGGGGGAAACCCUGAUGCAGCGACGCCGCGUGAGCGAUGAAGGAUUUCGGUAUGUAAAGCUCUAUCAGCAGGGAAGAAAAUGACGGUACCUGACUAAUAAGCCCCGGCUAACUCCGUGCCAGCAGCCGCGGUAAUACGGAGGGGGCAAGCGUUACCCGGAUUUACUGGGCGUAAAGGGAGCGUAGACGGGGGAGCAAGCCAGAUGUGAAAGCCCAGGGCUCAACCCCGGGACUGCAUUUGGAACUGUGCUGCUAGAGUGUGGGAGAGGCAGGCGGAAUUCCUGGUGUAGCGGUAAAAUGCGUAGAUAUUAGGAGGAACACCAGUGGCGAAGGCGGCCUGCUGGACGAUGACUGACGUUGAGGCUCGAAAGCGUGGGGAGCAAACAGGAUUAGAUACCCCUGUAGUC